UACGUAGGGCGCAAGCGUUGUCCGGAAUUAUUGGGCGUAAAGAGCUCGUAGGCGGUCUGUCGCGUCUGCUGUGAAAUCCCGAGGCUCAACCUCGGGCUUGCAGUGGGUACGGGCAGACUAGAGUGCGGUAGGGGAGAAUGGAAUUCCUGGUGUAGCGGUGGAAUGCGCAGAUAUCAGGAGGAACACCGAUGGCGAAGGCAGUUCUCUGGGCCGUAACUGACGCUGAGGAGCGAAAGCGUGGGGAGCGAACAGGAUUAGAUACCCGCGUAGUCC
Molecule: ribosomal RNA, 273 nt
Filed under: uncultured bacterium
Lineage: Bacteria
Description: partial 16S ribosomal RNA
Rfam family: Bacterial small subunit ribosomal RNA
Source: RNAcentral